UAGAUAUUUGUUUGGCCAAAAAUUCUUUGGCUUUGGCUUUUUGCAUGUGGUGUUAUCUUUUGGGUGAGCAGAUUCAGAUUUUGUAUCGGUAGAGGCCUUUCUAUAUAUCGGUAUUUGUUUUAUGACCUUGGUGUGAGUAUUCGGUAAGAGAAAAUUUUGAUGAAAGACAAAGAGAGUUUUGGGGACAGAGACAUAGAGCCGAGAGGAUGGAGAUUUGAUAUUCUAGUGAUUUAUUUUUUUUACAGUGGAUUUAGACUUUGCCACAUAUGGCAAAAUUGAAGAGCUCGUCGUGGACUUUAUAUUGAUCGGAGUAAUUUUCAGUUUGGAGCACUUGGGAUUUCGAAUUUUUUGGGCAGAAUUGGGCAUUUUUCUUCUCAUUGAGGUCACGGGAAGGAAGUGGCGGACGACAUUCCUCCAUAGGUUUGAAUGGGUCAUGGGAAGGAAGUGGUGGACGACGUUCCUCCAUAGGUUUGAAUGGGUUGGUUCCCCAAAAAUAGUUAAAAGUGCGGCUUUAUUGAGUUUGUGAAGAAUCAAAGCACACCGUUGCCUAGACCCUUCAUUUUUGCCUAAGCCAGUGUUCCAUUGAACUCCUGGUUAUCCCUGGAAAAAGCAUUAGCCGCGAUCAACGCGUCAACGGACAGAGCCAAAAGCAGCCUGGCAGCAGUGAAGUUCGACUUUGUUCUUCAUUUUUGACCCGCAACACUCCUAUUAAAACAUGACAUACUUAUAUCUUUGAGUUAGCUUUCCAAAUCAUCAAACGGUUUGUUAUUUAGAGUUCAUAACAUAGAGUUAUGGCUUUUUUACCAAAAGUAGCCUGGCAACAGUGAAGUUUUGACUUUGUUUUUCAUUUUCAUACAACACACUUAAGAAUUGGACUCCCAUUAAAACAUAACAUACCUAGAACUUUGAGUUAGCUUUCUAAAUCAUCAAACGGUUCAUCAUUUGGAGUUCGGAGCAGAGAGUUAUGGCCUUUUUACCAAAGGUGAGUAGAGCUAAGGACA
Molecule: long non-coding RNA, 1001 nt
Organism: Cornus florida
Lineage: Eukaryota; Viridiplantae; Streptophyta; Magnoliopsida; Cornales; Cornaceae
Exons: 4
Source: RefSeq, a predicted model, not a curated record